GCGAUACAGGGUGACAGCCCCGUACACAAAAAUGCACAUAUUGUGAGCUCGAUGAGUAGGGCGGGACACGUGGUAUCCUGUCUGAAUAUGGGGGGACCAUCCUCCAAGGCUAAAUACUCCUGACUGACCGAUAGUGAACCAGUACCGUGAGGGAAAGGCGAAAAGAACCCCGGCGAGGGGAGUGAAAAAGAACCUGAAACCGUGUACGUACAAGCAGUGGGAGCCUCUUAAUGGGGUGACUGCGUACCUUUUGUAUAAUGGGUCAGCGACUUAUAUUCUGUAGCAAGGUUAACCGAAUAGGGGAGCCGAAGGGAAACCGAGUCUUAACUGGGCGUUAAGUUGCAGGGUAUAGACCCGAAACCCGGUGAUCUAGCCAUGGGCAGGUUGAAGGUUGGGUAACACUAACUGGAGGACCGAACCGACUAAUGUUGAAAAAUUAGCGGAUGACUUGUGGCUGGGGGUGAAAGGCCAAUCAAACCGGGAGAUAGCUGGUUCUCCCCGAAAGCUAUUUAGGUAGCGCCUCGUGAAUUCAUCUCCGGGGGUAGAGCACUGUUUCGGCAAGGGGGUCAUCCCGACUUACCAACCCGAUGCAAACUGCGAAUACCGGAGAAUGUUAUCACGGGAG
Molecule: ribosomal RNA, 625 nt
Filed under: Escherichia coli
Lineage: Bacteria; Pseudomonadati; Pseudomonadota; Gammaproteobacteria; Enterobacterales; Enterobacteriaceae
Description: partial 23S ribosomal RNA
Rfam family: Bacterial large subunit ribosomal RNA
Source: RNAcentral